Solanum lycopersicum (tomato) is the source of this 2265-nucleotide non-coding RNA. The record is from RefSeq and is a predicted model, not a curated record. NCBI's taxonomy places the organism in Eukaryota, Viridiplantae, Streptophyta, Magnoliopsida, Solanales, Solanaceae.
GAAAAGUGAAUUUCCAAACCCUUCUUAAGUAUGUGGAAUUCGUGUAUUUCCUUGUUAUAUGUGUUUGGGGAUAAUGAAACUUGGUGAUAGGUUGACUAGUCAAUAUUGAUUAAUUAUAGUAACGAAAAAGGGGGUAAUAAGAGACAAUAUGAUUAAUUUUCUGUGUAUGAUGUGUUAGAGAAAGGUAUGAACGGCUUAUUGAAUAAUAGUUGAUGUUUUAUCCUGAUUGUGUUGUUGUGAAUUGUGUAAUGUUAUGAAAAUGAUUUAUCUCGUCAUUAUUUGUGCGAACAUGUCAUUUGAAUUAGUUCUAAGACAUGGUGGUGAUAAAUGUUAUGUAAAAAGAGGAUGUACUAUUUUGAGUGACACUACAACAUAUUGGGUCUUAGUCACACUAAUUCUAGACUACACUUUAAAGUGUUUCAUAAAGUAUUUUUGGGAACGCUUUCAAAAUGUAGCAAAAUUUUUUAACUUUUAGCAACAAUACUAUUGGCAACACUUAAAAAGUGUAGUCUUUAUUGCUAUAAGAUACACGUUAUAAGUGUUGCUAUAAAAUGAUAUAAUUGACAAAAAAAAUUUACAUAUAUGACCACACUUUUUUUAAUGUCAUAUUUUAGUAUUAUAAAAACAACACAAUAUAAGUGUGACCUUAAAUUUUCACCAAAAUUUUAUAUUCCCUCCAACAAUUAUAAUUCUCGCUCCUAUUUUUAUUGCCAAAACAAAUAAACAUUAAUUAAUAAUAAAACAAAAAGAGUUUCUCUUUCCUUCUCCCUGUCCCUUUCCUUUUAUGAAGAACUCACGCUUUCCCUUUCCUUUCUCUGAUAUUGUGCUAAAGAUCGAGCUCAUUCCUUCAAAUCACACUUUCAGUUUACUUCUCCGAGCUGAACAACUCACAAUUUCCUUAUCGAAGAUGAAGAUCGAACUGAAGAUCAAGCUGAAGAUCGAGCUUCAGAACUCACCGAGCUGACCGAGCUUUCUCUUCUCAUAGCUGAAGAUUUCGUCAAGGUAAGAGCUGAAGAUUUCAUCAAGCUUCUUCAUAUUGAAUGAAUUUUAUUUUAUUUUUGUUUAGAAGGAAUUGAUUGGGGUUGUUAGCAAGAUGAACUGAAGUUAAGUCUCUCCAUCACACUUUUCACUCAUAUUUCUCAUUGCAGGACUUGAUUUCAGACAGAUUUAGGGUUUGCCGCGUAAGAAUUCUAUCUUUGAAAGUCUAGAUUCUAGCUUUAGGGUUUUGAUGUUCUUUUGUUUUUAUACAAUUUUAGGGAGUGUAGCUCAUAAUUUAUCUUUAUUAGUUAAUUUGUGGGUUCCUUGAGCCUUAAUACCUUGUCUUGUGAUGUUGAACAAAUGAAAAAAAGAAAACUGAAUGAACAGAGAUAUUAGUUGUUCCUUAGAUAAAAGUAAAAAAUUGUGAAGAUUGAGUAUAAUGAAAUGAUGGGCAUUAAACAGAACAAGUGUUGUUGUAAUAUGUUAUCAACAUAUUUUGAAUUUGAUAUGGAACCGUUAGUGUAAUGUUUUCGUUGAACAUUACUCCUCCAGUUCUAUUUAUAUGACAUAGUUUCAAUUAAUUUUUUUAAACUUGCGUGUUAAAUUUUUUUUGUCAUUUAUGUAGCUAUAAAACUUUUGAAACAUGUAGAUUCUCCUGACUAGCUAAUCUGAAAAAUGGAAGAGUUGAGUUGAAGAUUCUCAUCUCCAGAUUAUGAUUUUCUCGAAGAAAUGAAGAGUUGAUGCUAAAGACCUGGGGAUCGAAGAAAUAAAAAUCGAAGAGCUGCAGGACGGAAGCUGAAGAAUUGAUUUCAUCAAUUGGGAAGAUCAGAAACUGCAGCAGCCAUUCACUGGCGAGCACGGAAGACCCUUAAGAAGAGUAUUUCACUUCUACCCUCAUUGGGUAUCUGAUCAAUCUCAUGUGAGAAUACUUUUUUGACUUGGGAAUGAAUACUUUGAGCUGGGUAAAGUGAUUUCUUAUGCGGUGCACCAUCUCAUAUAUCAUUAAGGUGCCAAUCUUGAUCUACAUCACACUCUGAGGUAUUUUUUUGUUUCGAUGACAUGCUUAUGUGAUCUAAGUCACUGUUAAAAGAGCUUUCCCUAUAUUCUUAGGCAGGACCUUGGCAAAAACUGUUAUAUAAAGGUUUUAGGAGAGCGAGCUAUUGUCAUAUGCGAUUUAAUUUUCUUGACCUCUCAAACUAGUUGGAACAACAAAAUUUUGUAGAUGAGUACCUUAAGCUUUGUGUGUUAAACAAACAAUGUACCAUUUCUAUCGAGAAAGCCUUCAUA